Molecule: ribosomal RNA, 442 nt
Filed under: uncultured bacterium
Lineage: Bacteria
Description: partial 16S ribosomal RNA
Rfam family: Bacterial small subunit ribosomal RNA
Source: RNAcentral
CCUACGGGAGGCAGCAGUAGGGAAUCUUUCACAAUGGGCGAAAGCCUGAUGGAGCAACGCCGCGUGCAGGAUGAAGGCCUUCGGGUUGUAAACUGCUUUUAUAAGCGAGAAAUAUGAUGGUAACUUAUGAAUAAGGAUCGGCUAACUACGUGCCAGCAGCCGCGGUCAUACGUAGGAUCCGAGCAUUAUCCGGAGUGACUGGGUGUAAAGAGUUGCGUAGGUGGCAUAAUAAGUAGCUAGUGAAAUCUGGUGGCUCAACCAUUCAGACUAUUAGCGAAACUGUUAAUCUCGAGAACGUUAGGGGUAACUGGAAUUUGUAGUGUAGGAGUGAAAUCCGUAGAUAUUAGAAGGAACACCAAUAGCGUAGGCAGGUUACUGGGACGGUUCUGACACUAAGGCACGAAAGCGUAGGGAGCAAACGGGAUUAGAUACCCGGGUAGUC